Molecule: ribosomal RNA, 500 nt
Filed under: uncultured bacterium
Lineage: Bacteria
Description: partial 16S ribosomal RNA
Rfam family: Bacterial small subunit ribosomal RNA
Source: RNAcentral
AUUGAACGCUGGCGGAAUGCUUUACACAUGCAAGUCGAACGACAGAACGGACUUCGGUCGGGUGGGGAGUGGCGAACGGGUGAGCAAUGUAUCGGAACGUGCCCAGGCGGGGGGGAUAACGUAGUGAAAAUUACGCUAAUACCGCAUACGAUCUGUGGAUGCAAGCGGGGGAUCGCAAGACCUCGCGGGAUUGGAGCGGCCGAUAUCAGAUUAGGUAGUUGGUGGGGUAAAGGCCCACCAAGCCAACGAUCUGUAGCUGGUCUGAGAGGACGACCAGCCACACUGGAACUGAGACACGGUCCAGACUCCUACGGGAGGCAGCAGUGGGGAAUUUUGGACAAUGGGCGAAAGCCUGAUCCAGCCAGUCCGCGUGCAGGAUGAAGGCCCUCGGGUUGUAAACUGCUUUUGUACAGAACGAAAAGGUUUCUACUAAUACUAGGAGCUCAUGACGGUACUGUAAGAAUAAGCACCGGCUAACUACGUGCCAGCCGCCGCUGUAA